UUGAACGCUGGCGGCAGGCCUAACACAUGCAAGUCGAGCGGAUGAAGGGAGCUUGCUCCUGGAUUCAGCGGCGGACGGGUGAGUAAUGCCUAGGAAUCUGCCUGGUAGUGGGGGAUAACGUCCGGAAACGGGCGCUAAUACCGCAUACGUCCUGAGGGAGAAAGUGGGGGAUCUUCGGACCUCACGCUAUCAGAUGAGCCUAGGUCGGAUUAGCUAGUUGGUGGGGUAAAGGCCUACCAAGGCGACGAUCCGUAACUGGUCUGAGAGGAUGAUCAGUCACACUGGAACUGAGACACGGUCCAUACUCCUACGGGAGGCAGCAGUGGGGAAUAUUGGACAAUGGGCGAAAGCCUGAUCCAGCCAUGCCGCGUGUGUGAAGAAGGUCUUCGGAUUGUAAAGCACUUUAAGUUGGGAGGAAGGGCAGUAAGUUAAUACCUUGCUGUUUUGACGUUACCAACAGAAUAAGCACCGGCUAACUUCGUG
RNAcentral lists this ribosomal RNA (483 nucleotides) under uncultured bacterium. RNAcentral's name for it is "partial 16S ribosomal RNA". It matches the Rfam family "Bacterial small subunit ribosomal RNA", at positions 30 to 507 of the family's 1533-position model. The record is from RNAcentral.